GCCUUCGUGGUGUAGUGGUCAGCACGCUCGACGUGUAACCGAGAGGUCCAUGGUUCGAUUCCUGCAGAAGACG
Molecule: transfer RNA, 73 nt
Filed under: Stegodyphus mimosarum
Lineage: Eukaryota; Metazoa; Arthropoda; Arachnida; Araneae; Eresidae
Rfam family: tRNA
About the family: Transfer RNA (tRNA) molecules are approximately 80 nucleotides in length. Their secondary structure includes four short double-helical elements and three loops (D, anti-codon, and T loops).
Source: Rfam by way of RNAcentral